UGCCAGUCGAGCGGUAGCACAGAGAGCUUGCUCUCGGGUGACGAGCGGCGGACGGGUGAGUAAUGUCUGGGAAACUGCCUGAUGGAGGGGGAUAACUACUGGAAACGGUAGCUAAUACCGCAUAACGUCGCAAGACCAAAGUGGGGGACCUUCGGGCCUCAUGCCAUCAGAUGUGCCCAGAUGGGAUUAGCUAGUAGGUGGGGUAAUGGCUCACCUAGGCGACGAUCCCUAGCUGGUCUGAGAGGAUGACCAGCCACACUGGAACUGAGACACGGUCCAGACUCCUACGGGAGGCAGCAGUGGGGAAUAUUGCACAAUGGGCGCAAGCCUGAUGCAGCCAUGCCGCGUGUAUGAAGAAGGCCUUCGGGUUGUAAAGUACUUUCAGCGAGGAGGAAGGCGUUAAGGUUAAUAACCUUGGCGAUUGACGUUACUCGCAGAAGAAGCACCGGCUAACUCCGUGCCAGCAGCCGCGGUAAUACGGAGGGUGCAAGCGUUAAUCGGAAUUACUGGGCGUAAAGCGCACGCAGGCGGUCUGUCAAGUCGGAUGUGAAAUCCCCGGGCUCAACCUGGGAACUGCAUUCGAAACUGGCAGGCUAGAGUCUUGU
Molecule: ribosomal RNA, 605 nt
Filed under: bacterium
Lineage: Bacteria
Description: bacterial SSU rRNA
Rfam family: Bacterial small subunit ribosomal RNA
Source: RNAcentral